CCACCCCGUAAACGAUGAAUACUAGGUGUAGNAGGUAUCGACUCCUUANUGUGCCCCAGUUAACACAAUAAGUAUUNCCGCNUGGGGGAGUACGAUCGCAAGAUUAAAACUCAAAGGAAUUGACGGGGGNCCGCACAAGCAGCGGAGCAUGUGGUUUAAUUCGAAGCAACGCGAAGAACCUUACCUAGACUUGACAUCUCCUGAAUUACCCUUAAUCCGGGGAAGCCCUUACGGGGCAGGAAGACAGGUGGUGCAUGGUUGUCGUCAGCUCGUGUCGUGAGAUGUUGGGUUAAGUCCCGCAACGAGCGCAACCCUUAUCAUUAGUUGCUACCAUUAAGUUGAGCACUCUAGUGAGACUGCCACGGUUAACGUGGAGGAAGGUGGGGAUGACGUCAAAUCAUCAUGCCCCUUAUGUCUAGGGCUACACACGUGCUACAAUGGUGAAUACAAAUAGAUGCAAUACCGCGAGGUGGAGCCAAACUAUAAAAUUCCAUCCCCAGUUCGGAUUGUAGUCUGAAACUCGACUACAUGAAGCCGGAGUUGCUAGUAAUCGCGAAUCAGCAUGUCGCGGUGAAUACGUUCCCGGGCCUUGUACACACCGCCCGUCACACCAUGAGAGCUGGUAACACCCGAAGUCCGUGAGGUAACCGUAAGGAGCCAGCG
RNAcentral lists this ribosomal RNA (663 nucleotides) under Clostridium sp. 44. RNAcentral describes it as "bacterial SSU rRNA". It matches the Rfam family "Bacterial small subunit ribosomal RNA", at positions 795 to 1454 of the family's 1533-position model. The record is from RNAcentral. Lineage: Bacteria; Bacillati; Bacillota; Clostridia; Eubacteriales; Clostridiaceae.